AUGAACGCUGGCGGCGUGCCUAAUACAUGCAAGUCGAGCGAACAGAUGAGGAGCUUGCUCCUCUGACGUUAGCGGCGGACGGGUGAGUAACACGUGGAUAACCUACCUAUAAGACUGGGAUAACUUCGGGAAACCGUAGCUAAUACCGGAUAAUAUAUUGAACCGCAUGGUUCAAUAGUGAAAGACGGUUUUGCUGUCACUUAUAGAUGGAUCCGCGCCGCAUUAGCUAGUUGGUAAGGUAACGGCUUACCAAGGCAACGAUGCGUAGCCGACCUGAGAGGGUGAUCGGCCACACUGGAACUGAGACACGGUCCAGACUCCUACGGGAGGCAGCAGUAGGGAAUCUUCCGCAAUGGGCGAAAGCCUGACGGAGCAACGCCGCGUGAGUGAUGAAGGUCUUCGGAUCGUAAAACUCUGUUAUUAGGGAAGAACAAAUGUGUAAGUAACUAUGCACGUCUUGACGGUACCUAAUCAGAAAGCCACGGCUAACUACGUG
This 496-nucleotide ribosomal RNA is filed under the name uncultured bacterium. Its description in RNAcentral is "partial 16S ribosomal RNA". It matches the Rfam family "Bacterial small subunit ribosomal RNA", at positions 29 to 507 of the family's 1533-position model. The record is from RNAcentral.